This is a long non-coding RNA of Helianthus annuus (common sunflower), 259 nucleotides long. RefSeq lists it as uncharacterized. The record is from RefSeq and is a predicted model, not a curated record. Lineage: Eukaryota; Viridiplantae; Streptophyta; Magnoliopsida; Asterales; Asteraceae. The transcript is spliced from 3 exons.
UUUCUGGAUUUGUACAGGAUUUUAAGAUUAAGAUGGUUGAAUGCUUUCCAGGCUCAUAGUCUCAUAGCCACUCAGGUGCGGUUAAAGAAUCAAUCAAUGCUCAAAGCUCAAAACACACACAUUGUUCAUUCUGAGGAAAACAUUAAGGGUGUGACGUUUGUGAAAAUUGUUCCUAAAUCUUGCCUGGGAAUAGGAAAAGAAGGCAAUGAAGGUUGUUCCAUUCGCAAUGAUGAUCAAGAGAAAACCACUGUGUUUAUAU